GAGUUUGAUCGUGGCUCAGAUUGAACGCUGGCGGCAUGCCUUACACAUGCAAGUCGAACGGCAGCAUGAUCUAGCUUGCUAGAUUGAUGGCGAGUGGCGAACGGGUGAGUAAUACAUCGGAACGUGCCCUGUAGUGGGGGAUAACUAGUCGAAAGAUUAGCUAAUACCGCAUACGACCUGAGGGUGAAAGUGGGGGACCGCAAGGCCUCAUGCUAUAGGAGCGGCCGAUGUCUGAUUAGCUAGUUGGUGGGGUAAAGGCCCACCAAGGCGACGAUCAGUAGCUGGUCUGAGAGGACGAUCAGCCACACUGGGACUGAGACACGGCCCAGACUCCUACGGGAGGCAGCAGUGGGGAAUUUUGGACAAUGGGCGAAAGCCUGAUCCAGCAAUGCCGCGUGUGUGAAGAAGGCCUGGUGUAAG
Molecule: ribosomal RNA, 420 nt
Filed under: uncultured microorganism
Description: bacterial SSU rRNA
Rfam family: Bacterial small subunit ribosomal RNA
Source: RNAcentral